This 516-nucleotide ribosomal RNA is filed under the name uncultured bacterium. RNAcentral describes it as "bacterial SSU rRNA". It matches the Rfam family "Bacterial small subunit ribosomal RNA", at positions 1 to 495 of the family's 1533-position model. The record is from RNAcentral.
UUUUAGAGUUUGAUCCAUGGCUCAGAACGAAUGCUGGCGGCGUGGAUUAGGCAUGCAAGUCUUACGGGCCCGGGUAGCAAUCCUCGGGUCAGUGGCGAAAGGGUGAGUAACACGUGAGUAACCUGCCCUUAGGAUUGGGAUAACCCCGCGAAAGCGGGGCUAAUACCGAGUGUGACCGUGUUGUCUUCGGAUGAUACGGUGAAAGGAUGGCCUCUAUUUAUGAGCUAUCGCCUUUGGAUGGGCUCGCGGUGUAUUAGCUAGUUGGUAGGGUAAUGGCCUACCAAGGCUAUGAUGCAUAGCUGGCCUGAGAGGGUGGUCAGCCACACUGGGACUGAGACACUGCCCAGACACCUACGGGUGGCUGCAGUCGAGGAUCUUUCGCAAUGGGGGAAACCCUGACGAAGCGACGCCGCGCGAGCGAUGAAGGCCUUCGGGUCGUAAAGCUCUGUCACGAGGGAAGAAAAGUUUCGAGGUGAUACCAUCUCGAGGUAAGACUGACCCUGAGAGGAAGCCACG